Small nucleolar RNA from Jaculus jaculus (lesser Egyptian jerboa), 69 nucleotides. Its record names the gene SNORD42. It matches the Rfam family "Small nucleolar RNA SNORD42". From Rfam's summary of the family: snoRNA U42 is found in intron 3 of the ribosomal protein L23a (RPL23a) gene in humans and is also present in mice. U42 is a member of the C/D class of snoRNA which contain C (UGAUGA) and D (CUGA) box motifs. The record is from Ensembl. NCBI's taxonomy places the organism in Eukaryota, Metazoa, Chordata, Mammalia, Rodentia, Dipodidae.
GUGCAUGUGAUGGAAAACAUUUCAGUUUCCUGAGACUUAGUGAUGUCUUCAAAGGAACCACUGAUGCAC